This 508-nucleotide ribosomal RNA is filed under the name uncultured bacterium. Its description in RNAcentral is "bacterial SSU rRNA". It matches the Rfam family "Bacterial small subunit ribosomal RNA", at positions 15 to 518 of the family's 1533-position model. The record is from RNAcentral.
GAUCAUGGCUCAGGAUGAACGCUGGCGGCGUGCCUAAUACAUGCAAGUCGAACGAGAGUGCUGCACUCUAGUGGCGAACGGGUGAGUAACACGUAGGUAACCUGCCUUACAGUUGGGAUACCCUGGCGAAAGCUAGGCUAAUACCGAAUAAUUGGAUUGGAGGCAUCUCCGAUCUCUAAAAGGGGCCUUUAAAGCCUCGCUGAAUGAUGGACCUGCGGCGCAUUAGCUAGUUGGUGAGAUAACAGCCCACCAAGGCGAGGAUGCGUAGCCGACCUGAGAGGGUGAACGGCCACACUGGAACUGAGACACGGUCCAGACUCCUACGGGAGGCAGCAGUAGGGAGUUUUCGGCAAUGGGGGCAACCCUGACCGAGCAACGCCGCGUGAAUGAAUGAAGGUCUUCGGAUUGUAAAGUUCUGUUAUAAGGGAAAAAUGAUAUGGUGAGGAAAUGCUCCAUAUUUGAUGGUACCUUAUUAGAAAGCCACGGCUAACUACGUGCCAGCCGCGGC